ACGCAGCAACGCCGCGUGGAGGAUGAAGUCCCUUGGGACGUAAACUCCUUUCGACCGGGGCGAUAAUGACCGGUACCGGUGGAAGAAGCCCCGGCUAACUUCGUGGU
RNAcentral lists this ribosomal RNA (107 nucleotides) under uncultured bacterium. RNAcentral's name for it is "partial 16S ribosomal RNA". It matches the Rfam family "Bacterial small subunit ribosomal RNA", at positions 386 to 509 of the family's 1533-position model. The record is from RNAcentral.